GGGGUCUGAAGUUCUCACAAUGGGGCCAUAGGCCUCAGUUCAUCAAGAGAAUGAGCCUUUGAGGAUUUGCUAGGAAACUCUUGACUGAAGGGAGGCCGGUGGAUGAAUCACUUUGUUUCUUAUGGAAAAGAUGAAAACUUUCUUUGUGGUUAUCUUGGCUACUGACUAUUUCUUACGAUGGCACAAGUAGACGGGAGGCCGGGAGGAGGCUCAGUUGCAGCAGCUGAAAGAAGUCAAGGCUGUGAAGUAGAACAUAAAAUAUGAAGAUAUUUCUGGUAACAAUCCAUAUGCGGACAUUACAUGCGGUUAUUAUCGAAGGAAGUCUGCACAGGAGAACCGAAUAUGCUCCCUAACAGUCUACCCAUUAUGUGCCUCUAAUAAUGUUACAUACUCUAAUGCCUGCAUGUUCUGCUUCGCUAACAUAGCUAUGCACCUCUCUCUUAAAAUUCGAUACGAUGGAAAAUGCGGAAAGGCCAAAAGUCCUGAACAGAAUUUGAUUUUCCUUCCUUCAUCAUAAGUGAACUCAUUUGAAUUAAGCAUCAUCCUUCCUUCAAAAAGCAAAAUUCAUUAUAUUACCUUAUUUUUUAAAGAUCAAUAAAUUUUAUUCUACAGAAAACUCUUCUUUAACUCAAGACAUAUUUAAUGACAUGCGCCAGAGUUGUGUUUGGUUCUAGAAAUGCAGAGUGAGUAGGAAGUGACCCCUGACUUUGUGCAACUCACUGUCUGAUAGGCUAAUUGGACAACUCUUUCAUUUAUUCAGUAAAUAUUCUUUAAGGACUUACAAGACUGAGAGACUUGGAUAGACUCUGUGUCCUCAGUAGUAAUCAAAACAGGUCUGUGCCGGGCUGGCCCCGUGGCGGAGCGGUUAAGUUCGCGCCCUCCGCUGCAGGCGGCCCAGUGUUUCGUUGGUUCGAAUCCUGGGCGCGGACAUGAC
Molecule: long non-coding RNA, 934 nt
Filed under: Equus caballus (horse)
Lineage: Eukaryota; Metazoa; Chordata; Mammalia; Perissodactyla; Equidae
Description: lncRNA (ENSECAG00000036910.3)
Source: RNAcentral